This is a non-coding RNA of Podarcis lilfordi (Lilford's wall lizard), 136 nucleotides long. NCBI's taxonomy places the organism in Eukaryota, Metazoa, Chordata, Lepidosauria, Squamata, Lacertidae. The record is from the annotation of a GenBank genome assembly.
GCACCUUAGAGACCAACUAAGUUUGUUCUUGGUAUGAGCUUUCGUGUGCAUGCACAAUUCUUCAUGCUAUCAAAUGCCAACAGUGCCCUUCACGAAAGCUCAUACCAAGAACAAACUUAGUUGGUCUCUAAGGUGC